ACUCUAAUAGUUUACAAAAAACAUUGGUCUUGUAACCCAAAA
This 42-nucleotide transfer RNA is filed under the name Pionites leucogaster. Its description in RNAcentral is "partial tRNA-Thr". Lineage: Eukaryota; Metazoa; Chordata; Aves; Psittaciformes; Psittacidae. The record is from RNAcentral.